Molecule: non-coding RNA, 22 nt
Filed under: Rattus norvegicus (Norway rat)
Lineage: Eukaryota; Metazoa; Chordata; Mammalia; Rodentia; Muridae
Source: RNAcentral
CAGAACAAGAAAGUAUGAGGAC